GAUCUGGGAAGAUCUACCUGAGCAUUGGCACCGGAAGGUGAGCUUUCUCGCUGGCUCCCGAACACGCCCUGUGUGGAUCUGGUGACGGCGGCUCUUCGAGCAGUUGGAUGUCGGGCACGCAGAGGGCCCCGGAUCCCACCUGCCAGCGGCUUGUCAGUCACUCGGAAGGCACAGGAGCACGCCCCGAGUGGCCACCGCGGCCGGCGCUGACGCGUGCACACUUCUGGAGGCCAGGAGCCCUGAGUCACGGUGCCGGCCAGGUUGGUUCCUCCUGGGGCCCCUCCCGGCAGCUCCCGGGGGAGGGCGGUGGCACUUGGUAGCCUGUGGCUUGGUCUCCUUCCUGCCCGUGGCCUUCCCCUCCCUCCCCUUCUCUCUCCGCAGUGCACACAUCACGGCGCCCCUGGUGAGAGCCCCCAGAUGCUGGCAUCGCACCGGCCUUCCUUCUGCGAAGACGUCCUGUGGCCCGGGCAGGCGCAGCGGUGAGGGCCUCUUUCCAGUCCACGCAGAACCAGCGCCUUGUCCUCGGUCUGCAACUUGACUCUAAAUCAGAAGGUGCUUAGUGCCAACCAUCGGAGAAGCCUGCAGCUGGGAGUUCUCAUCACCGCCGCCUGUCGGUCCUGCUGGGCCAGGCACACGAGGGGACGCCAGCAGGACACACGGGCAGCUCACGUUUCCUGUCCUGGAUCUGACGUUAAGAAAACGCAGCAAGACCCAUUUUCAUUCACCAAGCGGAAGAGAGAUCCUCAGUGAGAGCCAAGGAGCCACCGGGCUGCACCCCACGGAGCAUAGCGGUCUCUCCCCAAGUCCUCCGCGUUAGGGGGCAGACGGCUGUGUGAGCCGUGCAGCGCUGGGAGGGCUCAGUCCGCAUGGCCGUGUGCUGUCCCGUCUCCUCACCCCUGUGCCCCCCUCCCCACUUGGUCCAACAGAGGCACAGCUCUGCCUCCAGACGGUCCUCUCCACUCCUCGCCUUCCUCCUCCAGGCAAACUCUGCAUUUUAAAUUUUUUUCUUUUUCCCCAAAGCAAAUCUCUCUCUGUCUGUCUCUGUCUCUAGGAACCGAGGUGAGACUCACAUAACAUGACCGUCCCCAUUCUAACGUGGCGCUUGGCGCAUCCUGGCUCUGUCUAGUUCCCCAGAAGGGAACCCGCACCCACAUUCAGGCCUCCCCGUGUUCUCCCCCAGCCCCUUGCUACCUGUCCCCAAGAUUUGGGUCAUAAGAAAAAGGGGGGAACCCCAACAAAAUGCAUAAGCGUCACAGGCCAAGCACGAAGUUUGGUCUACUUAGAGUCUAGGAGCAAGCUUUCUCUGUGAAUUCUGGCGAGUCGACUUUGCUCCGCGGGCAGGGCCCUCCCCGUGACCGCGGCUGUGGGUACCUCCGGAUUUUGCCCAGCGACUGGCGGAAUCUAUUUCUACAGCACAGAGCCCGCUGCUGCCCGCGCUGGCCAGGUGGUGCCGGGCGCAGCCCACAGCCGCGGCCGGCGCGGGUGCUGGGGAGCGCAGGACGCGUGGACCCCUGCUCGCCGCGUGAAACGCCUUUUCA
This is a long non-coding RNA of Oryctolagus cuniculus (rabbit), 1538 nucleotides long. Lineage: Eukaryota; Metazoa; Chordata; Mammalia; Lagomorpha; Leporidae. The record is from Ensembl.